This 497-nucleotide ribosomal RNA is filed under the name uncultured bacterium. Its description in RNAcentral is "partial 16S ribosomal RNA". It matches the Rfam family "Bacterial small subunit ribosomal RNA", at positions 28 to 507 of the family's 1533-position model. The record is from RNAcentral.
GAUGAACGCUGGCGGCGUGCCUAAUACAUGCCAGUCGAGCGAACAGACGAGGAGCUUGCUCCUCUGACGUUAGCGGCGGACGGGUGAGUAACACGUGGAUAACCUACCUAUAAGACUGGGAUAACUUCGGGAAACCGGAGCUAAUACCGGAUAAUAUAUUGAACCGCAUGGUUCAAUAGUGAAAGACGGUUUUGCUGUCACUUAUAGAUGGAUCCGCGCCGCAUUAGCUAGUUGGUAAGGUAACGGCUUACCAAGGCAACGAUGCGUAGCCGACCUGAGAGGGUGAUCGGCCAGACUGGAACUGAGACACGGUCCAGACUCCUACGGGAGGCAGCAGUAGGGAAUCUUCCGCAAUGGGCGAAAGCCUGACGGAGCAACGCCGCGUGAGUGAUGAAGGUCUUCGGAUCGUAAAACUCUGUUAUUAGGGAAGAACAAAUGUGUAAGUAACUAUGCACGUCUUGACGGUACCUAAUCAGAAAGCCACGGCUAACUACGUG